Long non-coding RNA from Magnolia sinica, 450 nucleotides. RefSeq lists it as uncharacterized. NCBI's taxonomy places the organism in Eukaryota, Viridiplantae, Streptophyta, Magnoliopsida, Magnoliales, Magnoliaceae. The transcript has 3 exons. The record is from RefSeq and is a predicted model, not a curated record.
AUUGCCUUAUCAUCAACUGGAAUUUGGUUUGAGCAUACCCACCUUCGCUUGCUUGCGUCUUUGCUUGCUGCUGCGACCCCUUCAACCACAGUUGAGGACCCACGUGCCAAGUCGGUGCUGCAGGAAGUUGAGCAGGUAUGCAUAGAUGGAUCCUCAAGCAUAACUAUCUAUGGUGUGGACUUCAAGUUAUGGUUUUGAUUUGUUAUGGUAGAUUGGGAUAUCUUUUAGAUUAAGACAUUUUCUUUUUUCUUUUUAAUUCAGAUGUGUAUCUCUUAAGAUCUUUAUAAAUUUCUCUUAGGACACCCCACCUCUCUAUAUAUUCUUCACAUUGUUAAUGGGAUAAAUAUAAUAUUUUCAGGUUGGCCAUAUCAGUGGGAGCCAUGGCUUGUCUUUAAAGAGUGAUAGGGCUGGUUGGAUUGUGAAUGAAUGAAACAUAUUUUUCAAUAGCUA